AGCGGAGGAAAAGAAACCAACAGGGAUUGCCUUAGUAACGGCGAGUGAAGCGGCAAAAGCUCAAAUUUGAAAUCUGGCACCUUCGGUGUCCGAGUUGUAAUUUGAAGAAGGUAACUUUGGAGUUGGCUCUUGUCUAUGUUCCUUGGAACAGGACGUCACAGAGGGUGAGAAUCCCGUGCGAUGAGAUGCCCAAUUCUAUGUAAAGUGCUUUCGAAGAGUCGAGUUGUUUGGGAAUGCAGCUCUAAGUGGGUGGUAAAUUCCAUCUAAAGCUAAAUAUUGGCGAGAGACCGAUAGCGAACAAGUACAGUGAUGGAAAGAUGAAAAGAACUUUGAAAAGAGAGUGAAAAAGUACGUGAAAUUGUUGAAAGGGAAGGGCUUGAGAUCAGACUUGGUAUUUUGCGAUCCUUUCCUUCUUGGUUGGGUUCCUCGCAGCUUACUGGGCCAGCAUCGGUUUGGAUGGUAGGAUAAUGACUAAGGAAUGUGGCUCUACUUCGGUGGAGUGUUAUAGCCUUGGUUGAUACUGCCUGUCUAGACCGAGGACUGCGUCUUUUGACUAGGAUGUUGGCAUAAUGAUCUUAAGCCAC
RNAcentral lists this ribosomal RNA (584 nucleotides) under Debaryomyces hansenii. Its description in RNAcentral is "partial large subunit ribosomal RNA". It matches the Rfam family "Eukaryotic large subunit ribosomal RNA", at positions 49 to 648 of the family's 3401-position model. The record is from RNAcentral. Lineage: Eukaryota; Fungi; Ascomycota; Pichiomycetes; Serinales; Debaryomycetaceae.